GAGCUUGCUCCACCGAAAGAAAAGGAGUGGCGAACGGGUGAGUAACACGUGGGUAACCUGCCCAUCAGAAGGGGAUAACACUUGGAAACAGGUGCUAAUACCGUAUAACAAUCGAAACCGCAUGGUUUCGGUUUGAAAGGCGCUUUUGCGUCACUGAUGGAUGGACCCGCGGUGCAUUAGCUAGUUGGUGAGGUAACGGCUCACCAAGGCAACGAUGCAUAGCCGACCUGAGAGGGUGAUCGGCCACAUUGGGACUGAGACACGGCCCAAACUCCUACGGGAGGCAGCAGUAGGGAAUCUUCGGCAAUGGACGGAAGUCUGACCGAGCAACGCCGCGUGAGUGAAGAAGGUUUUCGGAUCGUAAAACUCUGUUGUUAGAGAAGAACAAGGAUGAGAGUAGAAUGUUCAUCCCUUGACGGUAUCUAACCAGAAAGCCACGGCUAACUACGUGCCAGCAGCCGCGGUAAUACGUAGGUGGCAAGCGUUGUCCGGAUUUAUUGGGCGUAAAGCGAGCGCAGGCGGUUUCUUAAGUCUGAUGUGAAAGCCCCCGGCUCAACCGGGGAGGGUCAUUGGAAACUGGGAAACUUGAGUGCAGAAGAGGAGAGUGGAAUUCCAUGUGUAGCGGUGAAAUGCGUAGAUAUAUGGAGGAACACCAGUGGCGAAGGCGGCUCUCUGGUCUGUAACU
Molecule: ribosomal RNA, 685 nt
Filed under: uncultured Bacilli bacterium
Lineage: Bacteria; Bacillati; Bacillota; Bacilli
Description: bacterial SSU rRNA
Rfam family: Bacterial small subunit ribosomal RNA
Source: RNAcentral